RNAcentral lists this ribosomal RNA (497 nucleotides) under uncultured bacterium. Its description in RNAcentral is "partial 16S ribosomal RNA". It matches the Rfam family "Bacterial small subunit ribosomal RNA", at positions 28 to 507 of the family's 1533-position model. The record is from RNAcentral.
GAUGAACGCUGGCGGCGUGCCUAAUACAUGCAAGUCGAGCGAACAGAUGAGGAGCUUGCUCCUCUGACGUUAGCGGCGGACGGGUGAGUAACACGUGGAUAACCUACCUAUAAGACUGGGAUAACUUCGGGAAACCGGAGCUAAUACCGGAUAAUAUAUUGAACCGCAUGGUUCAAUAGUGAAAGACGGUUUUGCUGUCACUUAUAGAUGGAUCCGCGCCGCAUUAGCUAGUUGGUAAGGUAACGGCUUACCAAGGCAACGAUGCGUAGCCGACCUGAGAGAGUGAUCGGCCACACUGGAACUGAGACACGGUCCAGACUCCUACGGGAGGCAGCAGUAGGGAAUCUUCCGCAAUGGGCGAAAGCCUGGCGGAGCAACGCCGCGUGAGUGAUGAAGGUCUUCGGAUCGUAAAACUCUGUUAUUAGGGAAGAACAGAUGUGUAAGUAACUAUGCACGUCUUGACGGUACCUAAUCAGAAAGCCACGGCUAACUACGUG